RNAcentral lists this ribosomal RNA (543 nucleotides) under uncultured Gammaproteobacteria bacterium. RNAcentral describes it as "bacterial SSU rRNA". The stretch from base 59 to 543 matches the Rfam family "Bacterial small subunit ribosomal RNA", at positions 1 to 473 of the family's 1533-position model. The record is from RNAcentral. Lineage: Bacteria; Pseudomonadati; Pseudomonadota; Gammaproteobacteria.
AUCCAACGCGUUGGGAGCUCUCCCAUAUGGUCGACCUGCAGGCGGCCGCGAAUUCACUAGUGAUUAGAGUUUGAUCAUGGCUCAGAAUCAACGCUGGCGGCGUGCCUAACACAUGCAAGUCGAACGCGGUUACCCCGCAAGGGGUAGCUGAGUGGCGAACGGGUGAGUAACACGUGGGUGACCUACCUUCGAGUGGGGGAUAACGUCCCGAAAGGGACGCUAAUACCGCAUAACAUCCUGCCUUUGAACAGGCGGUGAUCAAAGCCGGGGACCGCAAGGCCCGGCGCUUGAUGAGGGGCCCGCGUCUGAUUAGCUAGUUGGUGAGGUAACGGCCCACCAAGGCAACGAUCAGUAUCCGGCCUGAGAGGGCGGACGGACACACUGGGACUGAGACACGGCCCAGACACCUACGGGUGGCUGCAGUCGAGGAUCUUCGGCAAUGGGCGCAAGCCUGACCGAGCGACCCCGCGUGUGGGAUGAAGGCCUUCGGGUUGUAAAGCAAUCGAAUUCCCGCGGCCGCCAUGGCGCCCGGAAGCAUGCGAC